RNAcentral lists this ribosomal RNA (204 nucleotides) under Euepixylon sphaeriostomum. RNAcentral's name for it is "partial 28S ribosomal RNA". The stretch from base 148 to 204 matches the Rfam family "Eukaryotic large subunit ribosomal RNA", at positions 1 to 57 of the family's 3401-position model. Lineage: Eukaryota; Fungi; Ascomycota; Sordariomycetes; Xylariales; Xylariaceae. The record is from RNAcentral.
UUGACCUGCGCUGUAGCUCCUCAAAGUCAGUGGCGGAGCCGGUUCACAACUCCAGACGUAGUAGAUCUUAUUACAUCGCCUGCAGGAUGAAUCCGGUCCCCUGCCGUACCAUUAUGCAGUAAUCGUACACCAUACAAUAAAAAAGGUUGACCUCGGAUCAGGUAGGAAUACCCGCUGAACUUAAGCAUAUCAAUAAGCGGAGGA